AUUGAACGCUGGCGGCAGGCCUAACACAUGCAGGUCGAGCGGAUGAAGGGAGCUUGCUCCUGGAUUCAGCGGCGGACGGGUGAGUAAUGCCUAGGAAUCUGCCUGGUAGUGGGGGAUAACGUCCGGAAACGGGCGCUAAUACCGCAUACGUCCUGAGGGAGAAAGUGGGGGAUCUUCGGACCUCACGCUAUCAGAUGAGCCUAGGUCGGAUUAGCUAGUUGGUGGGGUAAAGGCCUACCAAGGCGACGAUUCGUAACUGGUCUGAGAGGAUGAUCAGUCACACUGGAACUGAGACACGGUCCAGACUCCUACGGGAGGCAGCAGUGGGGAAUAUUGGACAAAGGGCGAAAGCCUGAUCCAGCCAUGCCGCGUGUGUGAAGAAGGUCUUCGGAUUGUAAAGCACUUUAAGUUGGGAGGAAGGGCAGUAAGUUAAUACCUUGCUGUUUUGACGUUACCAACAGAAUAAGCACCGGCUAACUUCGUG
Molecule: ribosomal RNA, 484 nt
Filed under: uncultured bacterium
Lineage: Bacteria
Description: partial 16S ribosomal RNA
Rfam family: Bacterial small subunit ribosomal RNA
Source: RNAcentral